RNAcentral lists this ribosomal RNA (1382 nucleotides) under Escherichia coli. RNAcentral's name for it is "16S ribosomal RNA". It matches the Rfam family "Bacterial small subunit ribosomal RNA". The record is from RNAcentral. Lineage: Bacteria; Pseudomonadati; Pseudomonadota; Gammaproteobacteria; Enterobacterales; Enterobacteriaceae.
UUAAAUUGAAGAGUUUGAUCAUGGCUCAGAUUGAACGCUGGCGGCAGGCCUAACACAUGCAAGUCGAACGGUAACAGGAAGAAGCUUGCUUCUUUGCUGACGAGUGGCGGACGGGUGAGUAAUGUCUGGGAAACUGCCUGAUGGAGGGGGAUAACUACUGGAAACGGUAGCUAAUACCGCAUAACGUCGCAAGACCAAAGAGGGGGACCUUCGGGCCUCUUGCCAUCGGAUGUGCCCAGAUGGGAUUAGCUAGUAGGUGGGGUAAAGGCUCACCUAGGCGACGAUCCCUAGCUGGUCUGAGAGGAUGACCAGCCACACUGGAACUGAGACACGGUCCAGACUCCUACGGGAGGCAGCAGUGGGGAAUAUUGCACAAUGGGCGCAAGCCUGAUGCAGCCAUGCCGCGUGUAUGAAGAAGGCCUUCGGGUUGUAAAGUACUUUCAGCGGGGAGGAAGGGAGUAAAGUUAAUACCUUUGCUCAUUGACGUUACCCGCAGAAGAAGCACCGGCUAACUCCGUGCCAGCAGCCGCGGUAAUACGGAGGGUGCAAGCGUUAAUCGGAAUUACUGGGCGUAAAGCGCACGCAGGCGGUUUGUUAAGUCAGAUGUGAAAUCCCCGGGCUCAACCUGGGAACUGCAUCUGAUACUGGCAAGCUUGAGUCUCGUAGAGGGGGGUAGAAUUCCAGGUGUAGCGGUGAAAUGCGUAGAGAUCUGGAGGAAUACCGGUGGCGAAGGCGGCCCCCUGGACGAAGACUGACGCUCAGGUGCGAAAGCGUGGGGAGCAAACAGGAUUAGAUACCCUGGUAGUCCACGCCGUAAACGAUGUCGACUUGGAGGUUGUGCCCUUGAGGCGUGGCUUCCGGAGCUAACGCGUUAAGUCGACCGCCUGGGGAGUACGGCCGCAAGGUUAAAACUCAAAUGAAUUGACGGGGGCCCGCACAAGCGGUGGAGCAUGUGGUUUAAUUCGAUGCAACGCGAAGAACCUUACCUGGUCUUGACAUCCACAGAACUUGUGAAAGGUUGGGCUAAGUCCGGAAACGAGGGCAACCCUUAGCCUUUGUUGCCAGCGGUGAGGCCGGGAACUCAAAGGAGACUGCCAGUGAUAAACUGGGGGAAGGUGGGGAUGACGUGAAGUCAUCAUGGCCCUUACGACCAGGGCUACACACGUGCUACAAUGGCGCAUACAAAGAGAAGCGACCUCGCGAGAGCAAGCGGGGCCUUGUACACACCGCCCGUCACACCAUGGGAGUGGGUUGCAAAAGAAGUAGGUAGCUUAACCUUCGGGAGGGCGCUUACCACUUUGUGAUUCAUGACUGGGGUGAAGUCGUAACAAGGUAACCGUAGGGGAACCUGCGGUUGGAUCACCUCCUUACCUUAAAGAAGC